GGAGGUGGAAUUCCGCGUGUAGCAGUGAAAUGCGUAGAUAUGCGGAGGAACACCGAUGGCGAAGGCAGCCUCCUGGGAUAACACUGACGCUCAUGCACGAAAGCGUGGGGAGCAAACAGGAUUAGAUACCCUGGUAGUCCACGCCCUAAACGAUGUCAACUAGCUGUUGGGGCCUUCGGGCCUUGGUAGCGCAGCUAACGCGUGAAGUUGACCGCCUGGGGAGUACGGUCGCAAGAUUAAAACUC
RNAcentral lists this ribosomal RNA (245 nucleotides) under Achromobacter sp. RNAcentral's name for it is "partial 16S ribosomal RNA". It matches the Rfam family "Bacterial small subunit ribosomal RNA", at positions 657 to 902 of the family's 1533-position model. Lineage: Bacteria; Pseudomonadati; Pseudomonadota; Betaproteobacteria; Burkholderiales; Alcaligenaceae. The record is from RNAcentral.